UACGAAGGGGGCUAGCGUUGCUCGGAAUCACUGGGCGUAAAGGGUGCGUAGGCGGGUCUUUAAGUCAGGGGUGAAAUCCUGGAGCUCAACUCCAGAACUGCCUUUGAUAGUGAAGAUCUUGAGUUCGGGAGAGGUGAGUGGAACUGCGAGUGUAGAGGUGAAAUUCGUAGAUAUUCGCAAGAACACCAGUGGCGAAGGCGACUUACUGGACACAUAUUGACGCUGAGGUGCGAAAGCGUGGGGAGCAAACAGG
Molecule: ribosomal RNA, 253 nt
Filed under: uncultured bacterium
Lineage: Bacteria
Description: partial 16S ribosomal RNA
Rfam family: Bacterial small subunit ribosomal RNA
Source: RNAcentral